UACAUUUAGGUGUAUGAUGCACAAGAAUUUUUGAUAUUUUAGGAAACAGUUUAAUUCUGUUAGGUGUAG
Molecule: transfer RNA, 69 nt
Filed under: Eucorydia linglong
Lineage: Eukaryota; Metazoa; Arthropoda; Insecta; Blattodea; Corydiidae
Description: tRNA-Gln
Source: RNAcentral